Molecule: non-coding RNA, 82 nt
Organism: Uloborus diversus
Lineage: Eukaryota; Metazoa; Arthropoda; Arachnida; Araneae; Uloboridae
Source: the annotation of a RefSeq genome assembly
GGUAGCGUGGCCGAGCGGUUUAAGGCGCUGGUUUAAGGCACCAGGCUUUUCGGAGGCGUGGGUUCGAAUCCCACCGCUGCCA